This 468-nucleotide ribosomal RNA is filed under the name uncultured bacterium. RNAcentral describes it as "partial 16S ribosomal RNA". It matches the Rfam family "Bacterial small subunit ribosomal RNA", at positions 28 to 507 of the family's 1533-position model. The record is from RNAcentral.
GACGAACGCUGGCGGCGUGCUUAACACAUGCAAGUCGAACGGAAAGGCCCUGCUUUUGUGGGGUGCUCGAGUGGCGAACGGGUGAGUAACACGUGAGUAACCUGCCCUUGACUUUGGGAUAACUUCAGGAAACUGGGGCUAAUACCGGAUAGGAGCUCCUGCUGCAUGGUGGGGGCUGGAAAGUUUCGGCGGUUGGGGAUGGACUCGCGGCUUGUCAGCUUGUUGGUGGGGUAGUGGCUUACCAAGGCUUUGACGGGUAGCCGGCCUGAGAGGGUGACCGGCCACAUUGGGACUGAGAUACGGCCCAGACUCCUACGGGAGGCAGCAGUGGGGAAUAUUGCACAAUGGGCGGAAGCCUGAUGCAGCAACGCCGCGUGCGGGAUGACGGCCUUCGGGUUGUAAACCGCUUUCGCCUGUGACGAAGCGUGAGUGACGGUAAUGGGUAAAGAAGCACCGGCUAACUACGUG